Molecule: long non-coding RNA, 1186 nt
Organism: Bos taurus (domestic cattle)
Lineage: Eukaryota; Metazoa; Chordata; Mammalia; Artiodactyla; Bovidae
Source: Ensembl
GAACGGCUGAAGUGCCUUGGCAAAUCCCAGGUUGAGUUGAUAGCCAGGUCUUGUUAAGAAACCCUAAAGCAAGUUUUAGGACCCAAGAGCAAAUAAUUCACGGCUAAUCCUUAGCAUGAAAAUCAAGGUGAGAGCGAAAGCAAGCAAAAGAGGGAGAAAGAGAGAGAACAUCAGGGGAAUGAAUGCGCGAAAGAAAAGAUGACACAGGUGUGAUGCUGUGCAACAUAUUCCAAGGCCUUGGCUCUGCUCUACCUCAGUGCAAGGGGCAGCAGUACUUAGUACAGUGCUUGUUAUUGGGUUGGCCAUAAAGUUUCCGUAUGGAAAAACCCGAAGACCACGUGCUACGAAGCAGCUGAGCCUCUACUCCACAACUGUGAAGCCUGUGCUCUGCAACAAAAGAAGCUGCUGCAAUGAGAAGCCUGUAUGUCACAACUAGAGAAUGGCUACCACUGGCUGCAACCAGAGAAAAGCCUGUGCAGCGAUGAAGACCCAGCACAGCCAAAAAUAAAUCAAUAAAAUCAUUUUUUUAAAGAGCUCUACAGAUGAUUCUGCUAGUGCUGAAGUGCUAGUCCAGAGAGGUUGUAGUAAGAUAAAAGAACAUAGCAUCUGUCCAUUUUUAUGUCUGUACCUAGAUACUCUAUGCUCCCAGGAUACUGAAAGAGUUAGCAAGUGUGAUCUCCAAGUCAACAUUAAUUCUUUAGGGGACGCCACAGAAAAUAAGUGAGGGCUCUAAAGGGUCUUGAUUUUAAAAAGAAGGGUGAAGAUUAUCAUUUUUAAAAAUUACUUACAAUGUGAAGUUGAUUGCUUACAAAAAUUUGAACUGCUUGCUAAACAAUGUGUGAACAUUUGGGAAAUGACACGGGAGUCUAGAAUUCAAUCUGGAUUAACUAAGAAAAUUGAUGCCUCGGUCUUUGUUUAUGUUUUUUUGGGGGAUAGUGUUAAAUACAUUGUUAGUCUAUAAACUCAUUUAUUUUAGAAGUAAACAUGCCAAAACUCUGAAGACUGUUGUUUUUCUGAUCAUACUUUAUUUUAAUCAUUUUUGUACAUCUCUCUUCUGUAUUAGAUUAUGGCUUCUUUGUAGCUCCAAUGCUAGCACAAUUUCUGGCACAUAAUUUCACAUUCCAAAUGUUUAUGUAAAUUGAAUCAAAAUUUAUCCUUGUGUAGAAGAUAAAAAUACAGGCUAGGU